AUGGAGAAGACCGAGCUGAUCCAGAAGGCCAAGCUGGGGAGCAUGCCGAGCACUAAGACGACAUGGCCACCAACAUGAAAGCCAUGACUGAGCAGGGCACGGAGCUGUCCAAAGAGUUGCAUAACCUGCUUUCGGUGGCCUACAAGAACGUGGACGGGGUGUGUGGGGGGGGGGUAGGUCCUCCUGGAGGGUCAUCUUGAACAUUGAGCAGAAGACCGACACCUCCGACAAGAAGUUGCAGCUGAUCAAGGACUAUUGGGAGAAAGUGGAGUCGGAGCUGAGGUCCAUCUGCACCAUGGGCCUGGAAUUGUUGGAUAAGUAUUUAAUAGCCAGUGCAACUAAUCCCGAGAAUAAGGUCUUCUAUCUGAAAAUAAAGGGAGAUUAUUUCCAAUAUCUUGCUGAAGUAGCUUGUGGUGACGAUCAAAAAGAAACAAUAAAAAAUUCCCAAGGAGCCUACCAAAAGGCUUUUGAUAUAAGCAAGAAAGAGAUGCAGCCUUCGCAUCCAAUCCACCUGGUGUUGGCUCUUAACUUUUCUGUAUUUUACUAUGAGAUCCUAAUAAUCCAGAGCUUGCCUGCACACUGGCUAAAAUGGCUUUUGACGAGGCCAUCGCAGAGCUUGAUACACUGAACGAAGACUCCUACAAAGACAGCACCCUCAUCAUGCAGUUGCUUAGAGACAACUUAACAUUAAUGGACAUCGAACAGUGCAGGAGAAGAAUGUGAUGCAGCAGAGGGGGCCGAAAACUAA
Mus musculus (house mouse) is the source of this 748-nucleotide RNA transcript. It is a transcript of the gene named predicted gene 7977, with no coding region annotated. The record is from RefSeq and is marked validated. NCBI's taxonomy places the organism in Eukaryota, Metazoa, Chordata, Mammalia, Rodentia, Muridae. The transcript has a single exon.